ACAAAUAAUAUAUUACCAAUGCUUAAGGUAAGCUUUUGCGCUUUCACGAAUCUCGACUCUAACAAUUUCUCAUGGGAGAGAUUGACGCACUGUGAUUUUGCCGAUGGUGUAGUAUCAGAAAUGCUCACUGACCCUCCUUUUUCUCCUGCAUGUUGGAUUGAUCAAAGAAACAGAAGCUGAUUUUGAUAAUAGCGAGGCUGUAUCGAAGGGAACAAGGCUCAUCAUAGGGAAAUAAUCAAAGUGCUCUCUCUUGGGAUUUAUACACCAAGAGUGCAUGACAGAUCUGAUACAGGGAGGAUGACCCCGCAGAGUCUUACAAUAAUUAUGCCUUGCUGAUAUUUGGUGUACAUUCUCAACCUCUAAUGCUGCUGUAGACCCUAUGGUUGAUGCAUUGGCUAGAGUGGCGGAUACCCUUAGGGACCAGACUGCAGCCACUCACUUGUUUAUGGAGCAAGUGCGAGAGCAACUCAAUAAUCAGAAUACUGCUCCUAACAAAGGAGUUGGGGUUGAUGCCAAGUCAUUGAAGAAAGCAUGAAAGAGGCUGCGGCAGAUAAAGAGAAGAAUCAAUGGUGGAAGUGGAAGAGGGAUGAUGGUAGGCCUAAAAGCAAGCAGUUUCAGGCUCAGUUCAGGAAAGAUAAAAACAGGUUCGGACAGGUAACUGGUUCUCCAGAUGUCCAAAGUGUGGGAAGAGACACACCGAUGAGUGGCUGGCUGGCCAAAGAGUCUGCUACAAAUGUUGUAAACCAGGUCAUAUGGUACAACAGUGUCCUCUGACGGUGGGACAAUGUCCUGACACCAGGACACAGACUAGAGGAAGGGUCUUGACCCUUAUUGGCCAAGAAGCGGUCUAGGCUCAAAACAUGGUUCAAGGUAGGUAGACCUGAGAUUGUAGAGAUGACAUGGUUCGUGCUUCUCAUUGCAGACUGCUUUUUCCACUUCAGUUUCCAAUGCCACCGUGUGGUCGCUUAUAUUUUCAGACAUGGACAAAGGUGUUUCGCCCCAAUUUCGACAGCAAUGGAAGCAUUUGCCUUGACAUAUUGAAGGAGCGAUUGGGCCCUGCACUGACCAUGUCAGAGGUUUAUUCAGAAUGUCUCUUGCUACAUAUAAUGCCUGCGUAGUAUUUUAGAGAUGAUUCCUUUUAGAUUUAACUUUCCAGUGACAGUGGGGUUAUUAAUAUUUUUGCAGAAUAUGAUCUAAUAACAAAAUUGAUUGUAUAAAAUUUCUUGGAUUUUUGUUGCCUAGUGAUUCCACAUCUAUCAGGAAUUCUAUUACUUUCGCUAGAUAUGCAACUUAAAUAUUUUAAACAAAAUAUUUUCUGUUAGGGGAGUUGCUUCAUUGUCACUUUGUCAACACUCUAUAAUAUACAUUCUGACCUCAAAUUGCCUUGUAUCGUAAUGGCUCAACACAAUGCAUGCAGAAAUUGAUAAACGCUGCAGAACGUUAGAAAACAAAAUGAGGUAAUUUAAUAUUAUGUAGGAAAUACCUCUUUUGUUGGAGGAGCAAUUUCAAGUCUUAUUAUUAAGGAAACAUCUGCCAUGGCUAUUAUUGGCAAUUUGAAACUGUGAAAUGUUGCCUGUCUUUGUACCAUCCUUUUCAUUCUAGUUUGUAAACUUGCAAUUACUGGCUUACAAGGGGAUACAAUUUUUGUUUUUUGUCUUCUCAGGUUUUGCUCUGAAGUUGUUCACUCUUAACAGACCCUCAUUCUGAUGAUCCUUUGGUGCCAGAGAUAGCCCACAUGUACAAAUCUGACAGGAGUAAGUACGAGUCGACUGCAAGAAGCUGGACUCAGAAAUACGUUAUGGGUUAGUUCAAUUCUCUUGGUGAUGGGAGGGCUUCGCGUUUAAAAUAUUUCGUGUCAAAUGGAAGUGUGUAACUUAUCUACUUAGUAGUAUCUGGAUUCUGGAGAGCUCCAAAUUCUUCCCUCCGAAGAAGAACACAUUGUUAAAUUGUGUAGGAACAUUACCUUUGGAUAGAGAUCUUCAUAGAUGUUGAGAAUAGUUGGUAAAACUAACGUCUUUAUUAAAUAUGUGGAACUCAAGAAACAUGGAAGGAAUACAUUGAAGAAAUAGAGAU
Molecule: long non-coding RNA, 2073 nt
Organism: Gastrolobium bilobum
Lineage: Eukaryota; Viridiplantae; Streptophyta; Magnoliopsida; Fabales; Fabaceae
Exons: 5
Source: RefSeq, a predicted model, not a curated record